ACGGCAGCACGGGAGCAAUCCUGGUGGCGAGUGGCGAACGGGUGAGUAAUAUAUCGGAACGUGCCCAGUCGUGGGGGAUAACGUAGCGAAAGUUACGCUAAUACCGCAUACGAUCUACGGAUGAAAGCGGGGGAUCGCAAGACCUUGCCGCAUUGGAGCGGCCGAUAUCAGAUUAGCUUGUUGGUGGGGUAAAAGCCCACCAAGGCGACGAUCUGUAGCUGGUCUGAGAGGACGACCAGCCACACUGGGACUGAGACACGGCCCAGACUCCUACGGGAGGCAGCAGUGGGGAAUUUUGGACAAUGGGCGCAAGCCUGAUCCAGCAAUGCCGCGUGCAGGAUGAAGGCCUUCGGGUUGUAAACUGCUUUUGUACGGAACGAAACGGUCCUUUCUAAUACAAGGGGCUAAUGACGGUACCGUAAGAAUAAGCAUCGGUUAACUACGUGCCAGCAGCCGCGGUAAUACGUAGGGUGCGAGCGUUAAUCGGAAUUACUGGGCGUAAAGCGUGCGCAGGCGGUUUUGUAAGACAGAUGUGAAAUCCCCGGGCUUAACCUGGGACCUGCAUUUGUGACUGCAAGGCUGGAGUACGGUAGAGGGGGAUGGAAUUCCGCGUGUAGCAGUGAAAUGCGUAGAUAUGCGGAGGAACACCG
This 650-nucleotide ribosomal RNA is filed under the name uncultured bacterium. RNAcentral describes it as "bacterial SSU rRNA". It matches the Rfam family "Bacterial small subunit ribosomal RNA", at positions 66 to 711 of the family's 1533-position model. The record is from RNAcentral.